This is a long non-coding RNA of Humulus lupulus (European hop), 869 nucleotides long. RefSeq lists it as uncharacterized. NCBI's taxonomy places the organism in Eukaryota, Viridiplantae, Streptophyta, Magnoliopsida, Rosales, Cannabaceae. The record is from RefSeq and is a predicted model, not a curated record. The transcript is spliced from 2 exons.
AAUAAUAUAUUUCUAAAUUCUCACCUAACCUAAAUCUAAAUGCGUGCCGCUGCCUAGUGCCUGCCUCUCUCUACUAUCUUAUCUUUCUUCAUCUUUGACCUUGCACUCUUGGGUCUUGACCAGGUGGCGAAGCUCCAUCAGUCUCGCCUCCAGUCGAGUCUCAGCUCCAAGCAAAGCUCCACGCGAUCUCUACUGGACAACUCCAAGCGAAGCUCGACGAAGUCUUUGCUCCAGGCGGUCGACCGAGGGUGGAGGCAGUCGACGGAGGUAGGUUCUCUCUUUUUAUUUUAUUCAUAUAAUAUAUACAUAUAGAUAUAAAUCAAGUAUAUUGUAUAUGUAUUACGUUUACAUUUUUGGCUGGUACUAUUUGGUAAGUAAAGAUUCUUGUUUGUUUGUAUUUUGUAAGAUUUAUAUUUAUUUAUUUUCAUUUUAGCUGUAUUCAGGUCGGUCGAAUAGCACAUAGGUCGGCAGGUGGUAUUGUUACUACUUUGCUUACUGUCAUUAUAUAUAUAUAUAUAUAUAUGCAUACGCAUAUUACCGGUUGCGUGUCAUUUAUAUGUAUAGUUUUAUAUUAUUGGUAUUUGCUAAUUUAUCCUAUGUUUUUUACAGGCAAUUUGGCACUGUCAAAUAAAAGAGAGAAAUAUUGCUUGCUUAAUUUGUUUGUUAAAAUAAAUUAGUGCUGAGAUAAUUAAAUAUUUUGUGCAUAUUUGGCGUAUCAUGAACAUAUUAGUUUAAAGGGAUUCAUGAAUGAUUCAAACAAAGGAAUAUUUGGAUGCUAUACAAAAAUAUGAGUUUCUUGAAGAAGACAAUAAACUUAAGGAGAAUGCAACAACAAAAGAGAACAUCAAGACACCCAUUGCCAUUGUUGA